This 308-nucleotide long non-coding RNA is filed under the name Lathyrus oleraceus (garden pea). Its description in RNAcentral is "Pisum sativum (pea) long non-coding RNA (PSAT_LNC018798)". The record is from RNAcentral. Lineage: Eukaryota; Viridiplantae; Streptophyta; Magnoliopsida; Fabales; Fabaceae.
UUUGAAACAAACAUCAGAGUCGACGUAGUUCGGGGAAACGGGAAACGUGCUCGCUAGGAUGUCGCAUCCUAUGCAUACGUAUCUUCUCUAACUAGAGAAAGAAUCAGAGCACUCGUAGCUCGGCUAACGCACGCCAAACAAAACACACAACUAGAAACGGAAGGCAAAUCGUUGGUCUUACAUCCAACUCCAGACACACAGGCAAACAAGGAAACCGAAUGCCAAUCGCUGGACUUAUAUCAGACUCCGAACCAACAAACACACACAGGAAACCAACUGCCAAACGCUGGACUUACGUCAGACUCCAC